This 331-nucleotide long non-coding RNA is filed under the name Setaria viridis. Its description in RNAcentral is "long non-coding RNA (SVIR_LNC009326)". The record is from RNAcentral. Lineage: Eukaryota; Viridiplantae; Streptophyta; Magnoliopsida; Poales; Poaceae.
AGGGGUCGGGUAAUACAAUGUAAAUGAAACCACGUGAAAAGAAAAAGUUUUUCGAGAAAUUGGAAAAAAGAAUCACCUGAUUUGGACAACAAAUGCGAAAAUUUCAUGGUGUAGUAGUUUCAUAUGCACUACAUGCAAGACACAAACUGUGUUGGUAACUGUGCAUACAUGGUUUCAUCUAGAUGAAAUCCCUCUUACCUCUCACCUCAUUAACGCACUGCCACAUCAUCACAAAUUUUGACAUGGCACCCUAAUUAACGUGCAUGAAACCUCUAUGAAACUCACACUGGGAUUAGCCAAGUGACAGGGGGAGUACACUUUUAGGUUAAUC